This 83-nucleotide transfer RNA is filed under the name Schistocephalus solidus. It matches the Rfam family "tRNA". From Rfam's summary of the family: Transfer RNA (tRNA) molecules are approximately 80 nucleotides in length. Their secondary structure includes four short double-helical elements and three loops (D, anti-codon, and T loops). Further hydrogen bonds mediate the characteristic L-shaped molecular structure. tRNAs have two regions of fundamental functional importance: the anti-codon, which is responsible for specific mRNA codon recognition, and the 3' end, to which the tRNAs corresponding amino acid is attached (by aminoacyl-tRNA synthetases). tRNAs cope with the degeneracy of the genetic code in two manners: having more than one tRNA (with a specific anti-codon) for a particular amino acid; and 'wobble' base-pairing, i.e. permitting non-standard base-pairing at the 3rd anti-codon position. Lineage: Eukaryota; Metazoa; Platyhelminthes; Cestoda; Diphyllobothriidea; Diphyllobothriidae. The record is from Rfam by way of RNAcentral.
GGCCUCGCAGCUCAGUCGGCUAGAGCGUUGGCUGUAUUAAAGCCUUCCCCUUGCUGGCUUGGGUUCGAAUCCCACCGAGGCCG